Molecule: ribosomal RNA, 141 nt
Filed under: uncultured eukaryote
Lineage: Eukaryota
Description: partial 18S ribosomal RNA
Rfam family: Eukaryotic small subunit ribosomal RNA
Source: RNAcentral
UGGUGGAGUGAUUUGUCUGGUUAAUUCCGUUAACGAACGAGACCCCUGCCUGCUAAAUAGUCAGUUUGGUGAUCUUCACUGGGUCUGGCUUCUUAGAGGGACGUGCAUUCGACUAGUUGCAGGAAGAUAGGGGCAAUAACA